Non-coding RNA from Callorhinus ursinus (northern fur seal), 746 nucleotides. The record is from RefSeq and is a predicted model, not a curated record. Lineage: Eukaryota; Metazoa; Chordata; Mammalia; Carnivora; Otariidae.
UUCGGGGCAGGCCUCGUGGCUGGGAGGCAUGGCGGCUUCUGGCUGGGUCCAACGGGAUGAACAUUCUCGAGCCUUUGGCUGUGGCUUUUCUUUGGCAUCUGCGGAGACAGUGAGCAGCAGACCUGCAGGUUGAAGCUUAAAAGUGAGGAAUGGAUCCCUGAAAUGAUUUCUCCUUGCCAGGUGCAGUCUCCGCCUCGGUUUUUGAGGCUGGAAAAGGAUCCUGCAGAAGCAGAUGGCAGCGGCAGCGCCAAAUCCGCUGCCCUGGGCCCGAAGCGGAGACGUCUCUUUUGUAUAUGUCUGCAGUGUGUGGGACAGAACUGACAUGCUUUGCCUGAAGUUAUCUCCUCAGGACAGGCGGUGCCAGGUGGAGCAGCGCGGCCUCUGUUGCUAAUUGUUAAUGCCUGCAAAAUAAUCCCCCAAAGGGAGAAUAAUUGAAGAAUUCUUUGGACUUUGUCUUCGAAAGGAGCCAAAGAGUUUGAGUGACAGCUCAUCCUGCUGGCAGCCAAAUCAGGGCGUAACUAAGAAAAUCCAGAAUGCCGCAGUUGAGCUGAUCUGGGUGUAACUGGUGCACUGGGAAGAAGGCAGUGAUUGUGAACUGAAAAGGGUUAAUGUGUAUGUGCUGUUUUGGGGAGACUGAGCGGAAGCAGGUGCUCAGCCUAGAAAGGGGUUUCUCAGAGUGGAUUUCCUGUGAAGUUAAUGUAUCUUGGGCUUAAAUUUUGAAGCACAAAUAAAAGUUUUUAAAAAUG